GUCUGUAUUAAGAAGAUGGCAGUUACAGUGAUGUGCAACGAAAACAGUGAACUAAAAGUGAACUGUAUGAUGUCCGCCUGGUUGCCAGAUGAGGAAAAGCAAGCAGUUUGUUUAGAUGCAGUGAAUUAAAAAUUACCUGACACCACUCAAGAUGCCUUGUAAAAAGAGCAAAAUGCGUCUGGGAGAAUAAAUUAAAAUACAAAAUUUUAUGUGCAGCAUGCAAAGGCAUUU
Schistocerca piceifrons (Central American locust) is the source of this 231-nucleotide long non-coding RNA. RefSeq lists it as uncharacterized. The record is from RefSeq and is a predicted model, not a curated record. The transcript has 2 exons. NCBI's taxonomy places the organism in Eukaryota, Metazoa, Arthropoda, Insecta, Orthoptera, Acrididae.